This 496-nucleotide ribosomal RNA is filed under the name uncultured bacterium. RNAcentral's name for it is "partial 16S ribosomal RNA". It matches the Rfam family "Bacterial small subunit ribosomal RNA", at positions 28 to 506 of the family's 1533-position model. The record is from RNAcentral.
GACGAACGCUGGCGGCGUGCCUAAUACAUGCAAGUUGAGCGCUGAAGGUUGGUACUGGUACCGACUGGAUGAGCAGCGGACGGGUGAGUAACGCGUGGGGAAUCUGCCUUUGAGCGGGGGACAACAUUUGGAAACGAAUGCUAAUACCGCAUAAAAACUUUAAACACAAGUGUUAAGUUUGAAAGAUGCAAUUGCAUCACUCAAAGAUGAUCCCGCGUUGUAUUAGCUAGUUGGUGAGGUAAAGGCUCACCAAGGCGAUGAUACAUAGCCGACCUGAGAGGGUGGUCGGCCACCUUGGGACGGAGACACGGCCAACACUCCUGCGGGAGGCAGCAGUAGGGAAUCUUAGGCAAUGGAGGAAAGUCUGACAGAGCAACGCCGAGUGAGUGAAGAAGGUGCUCGGAUGGUAAAACUCUGUUGGUAGAGAAGAACGUUGGUGAGAGUGGAAAGCUCAUCAAGGACCGGAAACUAACAAGAAACGGACGGCUACCUACGU